CCGGUUCGGGCCAAGCAGAGUCGAUCGGAAGUUGUGCGGAAAACAACAGCAAUUCGGCGGACGCGGGUGCCGCACCGAAGGAUUCGGUUCGGGCCAAGCAGAGUCGGCUUGAAGAGUUGAAGCGGAACGUGGCCGGC
This 137-nucleotide long non-coding RNA is filed under the name Harpegnathos saltator (Jerdon's jumping ant). RNAcentral's name for it is "uncharacterized LOC112589467". The record is from RNAcentral. Lineage: Eukaryota; Metazoa; Arthropoda; Insecta; Hymenoptera; Formicidae.